CUUGAAGGUUUGAAGCGCCAAGAUACUUGCAAUUAAAGGAGAUGAAAGUUCGCGGAUCAGAGUUAAUUCAAGGUUGAUCAUUGAACUUAAGUAAAAGAUUUAAAUCCUUUAAUUUUAUUAUAACAUACACAUGAACAUCUAAAUAAUUUUGCUUAUUGAAUUAAAGAAAAUUAUAAUUUCUGAUUAAUCCUGCUUCCGCAUUCCAACAACAAUAACAAAGGUUUAUUUGAUUUUAUCGAACGCGGUCAAAUAAUACUAAAGCUUGGUUUUCGGUAGCAUGAAGUAGACUGAGAUUCCUCAAGCGCUUCUUCUGGUGCUAAAGCAGGUAUAUAGUUUUCAAAAUACAAGCAAUUAAAGUUGCAAAUGAAUGAAUCUAAUGCUAAUUUUUAUUUUUAUUUUUCCCCAGAACCUUAGCAACUAUUGCAGCAAUUGAAACUUGGCGCCAUUCUCCAUUCAAUAGAUCAAUGUUUGUAGAAGGGUUUUGACAAUCAAGUGAUUUUGAAGAGAGACAAGCACCUGUUUUUAAUUUCUAGUAGUUAUGAUUGAAUUUUGAUUGGAAAUUGGAGUGAGAAUUGGGGGACUGGGAGAGAAGAAGAGUAGUGAACCAAUGGUGAAAAUUGAGGUAGUGAAGGAAUUUUGUAAAGAGAAAUGAGUGGGGCCACUAUCGGAGAAUGAAGAUAGGUGAAAGUUAGAGAAAAGAUAGUUGCAUUUGAGUUGUUGUAGAAUCCAUGAAUUUGAGUUGUGUCUCUUGUUUGCGCAUACAAAGGUAAAACGAACUAAUCAAUGAUAAGGGAACAUUUGCGCGAAAUGUUCAGAUUCAUAGAGGAACAUUCAGAUUGAUAGAGUAAUCAAUGAAUUAAGAUUGAUUAUUUGAUUAUUCGCACAUGAGAUCGAU
RNAcentral lists this long non-coding RNA (895 nucleotides) under Olea europaea subsp. europaea. The record is from RNAcentral. Lineage: Eukaryota; Viridiplantae; Streptophyta; Magnoliopsida; Lamiales; Oleaceae.